Molecule: long non-coding RNA, 1364 nt
Organism: Macrosteles quadrilineatus (aster leafhopper)
Lineage: Eukaryota; Metazoa; Arthropoda; Insecta; Hemiptera; Cicadellidae
Exons: 4
Source: RefSeq, a predicted model, not a curated record
AACCGUAGAAAUUGAUCGAAACUGAAUUAUUCCCAGUUUGUCGACACUGGAAUAUUCCCACUUAACCGACAUCCCAAAUAACCGACGUCGCAAAUGAUCGACACCACAAAUUGUCGACAUCCCAUAUUGUCGACAAUGAAAUAGUUUCAUUUUGUCGACACUGAAAUAGUCCCAGUAUAUCGACAAGCACCCGUUCUUCGGAGCUACUCUUGAAAAGGAGUUGUUCUAAUUCAUCGUUCAGUUCCUCAACUCACGAGUCGCAAUAUUUGAUUCCGAAUUCCGAUUUCCGACGGACAUUUCUACAUUUUAUUGACUAAGAACUUUUAUGUUGUAAAUAUUUAUCUUGUUUAUUUCUUUCCUUGUUUACAAGAAAAUAGAUGACUCGAGUGUUACAAACUAUAGUUUUUAAGGAAUAAUGUGAAAUAAGUUAAUUUUUAUAGGAUAAAAAACUUAAUCAACAUGAUAACUUAAUAACAUUAGUCCUACCAGACACUAACUUAGUUUUAUAGAUGAUCCUGGAGCAAAGGCUGUAAUUUAACCUGAACCCAAAUUGGUCUCUGUUUUAAAUAUUGUCUUGAACCAAUAAGUUAAGAGGACUAACUGUUCUGGACGACAUUGCCAUCGAUAUCACUGCAGAUGAGAGAGAAAGAGAGACCAGAGUUGUGUACCCUGGAGGCAAUUACCAUACUGCUGUGAUAAUGUUCCUUGGUCUAACCAUAACUUAAGUGAGAGCUGAAGCCUACCAGUAAAAUGGGGGUGUUGUAAUUAAUAUCCUCCGACACUGGAGGAUACAGGGGAGAGGUGUCAGAGGAAGAGGAGAUGGAGGAUGGGGCCAGUAAGACUAAGAUUGAAGAAAACUAACUUAUGGCCUGAUGACAGGGUGGAUGGCAAUGGAGGCAUGGAGGUUGGGGGAGAGAAGGCUGAAGAAGUGAAGACAAAUCAGUUUAGAUUCAUUAUAAUGAUUAGUUUAAUAUUUAUUUUGAAUACCAGUAUACUUUUAUUUAAAUUUUUUCUCAUUUAGAUUAUUUAAUUAAGAAAAUUUUAUUAUUUUUAUAAAGAUGUUUUCUUAAAUUUUUAAUAUUUGUUUGUACUUCUGCCUGGUAAAAAACAAAACUGUUUAUUAUGUUUGUUAAAAUGAUUAGCCUACUUCCACUAAUGGACCUUGUCUUGGGUGAAAAGAGAUAUCUUGAUAUUUAACUAGCAGGGUGCCUGUUCUAUCUAUGGGCGGGGAUCGUAUAAGUCAGUUGAAUUGAAACCUUCUUAUAUUUCGAUAUUUGGUAAAUUAAUCAUUUCCAACUUUAUAUAGUAUAGAUCGCUAUUUCUGUAUUGAUGUACUGAAAUGAAUAAAAUUAUAUGAAAUUAAA